This 770-nucleotide small RNA is filed under the name Schizosaccharomyces pombe (fission yeast). RNAcentral describes it as "small heterochromatic RNA precursor". Lineage: Eukaryota; Fungi; Ascomycota; Schizosaccharomycetes; Schizosaccharomycetales; Schizosaccharomycetaceae. The record is from RNAcentral.
GUCCAUAUCAAUGUCCAUAUCAAUUUCCCAUGUUCCAUUACAUAUCCCGUGUUCUUUCCUUCUUCCAGCUUUUACAUGCUAGCCUUUUAUACAAUGAUUCCUCUCAUCUCGACUCGUUUGAUGAAUGGGCGUUUAGUUUUUGCAACAACAUAUGCGUUGGGUUAUCUCAUAUCGGGAAACACUUUCUGCCACUUUUAACUUGAACAAAGUUGGAGAAAUAAAGUGAUGGCAGAUAUUGCAAGUUGUUUAUAGUGUGCCUGUAGAAAUGUAAAAACGCUAUGUUUCGUGAAUGCCCAGCCUGUAAAUCGAAAUAAGAUUUCGUAUUUAUUAAGCAUUGGAAGAUCACAAUUGUGACUUUGUGGGUUUCGUAAAGAACAUCAUAUAGAUUUCUUUGACCAAGUGUAAUAAAGCAAAACACACGGACAUAGUAUGGAUAUGGACACAGCAUGGGUAUGGACACAAGCAACACUACCAGUCGUUUGAAACGAUGAAAUGGGCAACAAGUCGAUUUGUUUUUCAUCUAUCAAUCGUUGUAAUUCACAUGCAGCUACAAGACGACACGUUAUAUUUAGGGUGCAAAGCAGGUAGAGAUUUCAUAGGCAUAUUUCGAAGUACCAGCUUUAUGCCAAAACAUGCAUGCAUGCAAGAAACUCCAUAACUUCGUUUGCGCAACUCCUGCUUAUCGUCUUCUUUCUAUACCCAUACUGUUGGAUCAAUGAAUGAACGUAGCAAUAGAUACNAGAUAUAGCGCCACACUUUUGAGCAUAUCC